GACGAACGCUGGCGGCGUGCUUAACACAUGCAAGUCGAACGGAAAGGCCCUGCUUUUGUGGGGUGCUCGAGUGGCGAACGGGUGAGUAACACGUGAGUAACCUGCCCUUGACUUUGGGAUAACUUCAGGAAACUGGGGCUAAUACCGGAUAGGAGCUCCUGCUGCAUGGUGGGGGUUGGAAAGUUUCGGCGGUUGGGGAUGGACUCGCGGCUUAUCAGCUUGUUGGUGGGGUAGUGGCUUACCAAGGCUUUGACGGGUAGCCGGCCUGAGAGGGUGACCGGCCAGAUUGGGACUGAGAGACGGCCCAGACUCCUACGGGAGGCAGCAGUGGGGAAUAUUGCACAAUGGGCGGAAGCCAGAUGCAGCAACGCCGCGUGCGGGAUGACGGCCUUCGGGUUGUAAACCGCUUUCGCCUGUGACGAAGCGUGAGUGACGGUAAUGGGUAAAGAAGCACCGGCUAACUACGUG
RNAcentral lists this ribosomal RNA (468 nucleotides) under uncultured bacterium. Its description in RNAcentral is "partial 16S ribosomal RNA". It matches the Rfam family "Bacterial small subunit ribosomal RNA", at positions 28 to 507 of the family's 1533-position model. The record is from RNAcentral.